GCUGGGCAUGGUGGUGCACGCCUAUAAUCCCAGCUUCAGGAGGCUGAGACAGGAGGAUCUCAAGUUCUAAAGCCAAUCCCAGCAAAAGCAAGGUGCUAAGCAACUCAGUGAGACUGUGUCUCUA
This 124-nucleotide small RNA is filed under the name Marmota monax (woodchuck). The record is from RNAcentral. Lineage: Eukaryota; Metazoa; Chordata; Mammalia; Rodentia; Sciuridae.